Lycium barbarum (goji berry) is the source of this 2858-nucleotide long non-coding RNA. RefSeq lists it as uncharacterized. The record is from RefSeq and is a predicted model, not a curated record. NCBI's taxonomy places the organism in Eukaryota, Viridiplantae, Streptophyta, Magnoliopsida, Solanales, Solanaceae. The transcript is spliced from 4 exons.
GUGAAAAGGGCAUAUUAUUUGUGAUUUCAGACGUUGACGUUUUAAAGGGCAAAUUGGUGAUUCAUGCCUUCUCAAAGAGACACGUGUGCAACAGUUAAUUUUGCAAAUUGGAGUCUCAUCUAGACUCUUCUUCUUCCUAAUAGACUGUUGCGAAAUUGCUUCUCAUUCUCCACUUUCUCUGAUUUUUUUGUGCAUCUCCAUCUGCUCUUUAAUCAUUUAUUGUUACUUUAGGAUUCACCAAGUACAGCAUGUUGUGGGAAAAAACAUGGGAUGACUCCAACAAAUUGAACUUCCCAAUUCCUUAAUAGGUUACAAAUUGAUAGUGAUCUUUGGGUGACUCAUAUUUGAAAGCCUGUCGAUAAUGUUGAUGGCGAUGAUAUUGAUCUCCUUGGAGAGGAUACAAAGGAAGAAAGAGAAGGCAACGGAAGCAAGGGAGGCGGCUAAUGCAUCUACCAAGAAGAAAGAUAGUGAGCUUUGAUAUUUCCUUCUUAGUUGCUUUUGUAUCCAAUGCACAAUUACUGUAGAAAGAAAAUGCAAAACAUAUUAGAACUUGAAUGUGGAAAUUAUGUUCCUUUAAUCACGUAAAUCAUCAGUAUGCUUCAUUUUGUUAUGUUCUUACUUUUGUAGUUGAAAAGUUUUUCGUUCUUUUGGAAGUUAAGCCUUGGAAUGAUGAACUCACAUGAAGGGGCUGGAGGAGGUUGUCCGCAGUGUUCAGAUGGAAGUGCUUUUCUAGGGAAUAUGUAUGAUUUAUAAUUUCCAUUCCCUCUUUAACACACAUACCCAAAGUUCCUCUAGAGGAAUAUCAGCUGAAAUUCACCGUAAGCAAUUCAACAAAACUUAUGAACCAUUGAAAAGGUAAAACCUUCUUUUCCUAAUAUUUAUCCGGAUAAUCUUUUGUUUUGGGCGUAGAUCUUUGGUCCAAGGUGACAAUGCUGGUAAAGUUUUUUUUAUUGGAGGUAAUUUGUUAUACUGGUCGAAGGCUCUUUGCUACAAAUUAAGGGUGCAGGUGAUCAUCAAGUGGUGGACUAUUCCUACAGCUGCCAAAUUGCAGUCCAUUUAUAGAGCAAUUCCAGCUAUUAUCAUGUGGGAGCUGUGAAAUAGAACAGAUUCAAUAAAGCAUGUAGGAAACGUAUCAUACAACAAAGUUCUAUAUGUUCUAUAUGUACUUCAGCUUACCAUCAACAAGCUAAUCAGAUGUAGAUAUCCGUGGCUCACACAUGUUCCACCAGACUGACCAUCUUUGUCGACCUCGUCGGUCGUUUUGAGAAUUAAUGUUCUAUUCCGCGUGUCAUCUAUUCCAGAAGCUUCAUAAUAAUUAUUUUGAUUUGCUUGCAAAAUUUAAAGUCAAAAGGAUAUCAUUUGGUUCACUUGUGGAGAAGGUUUCAUUUUGAAAAUCCUGAUAUUUAAGUAUUUGGAUGAAUUGCUUGUUUUAUGAAAACGUGCUCUGAUUGGCGAUCUGAAGAUUUCGUUAGAUUUGUAAUAUUAUUUAUGACCUGUAGAAAUUGACUGAGCUAAUUUUAGAGUUCGUUUGGUUGGUUUUUGACAAUUAAGUCGAUUUUAGUAUUUAAUGUUCCUAUGUAUGGUGAAAAGAUGGUCACGGAAGAAAUAAGACCCGAAUUGAAAAUUUAUUGGUUCCGUUAGCUUCAUAUUGAUGCUUACGACUUGCGGGAAUGAACAAAUCAAUUCCUGAAGCUUUUGGUUGAGUUUUGGGUAAGGAAAAGGAUAUUUUGGAAAUCCUUAAGUAAAGAAGUGAGAAUGGUUGACCAAAGUCAACACUAAGGGUAAAUGAGUCUUUUUUAAAGUUUCAUCGAUUCUAUUAGGUCCGGAAUGUGAUUAUUGAUUCAGUGGAGCCAUUGAUUCGGUUCUCGAGGGGUUCAAGUGUGGUUUGGGUCAUAGGUUGAGAAACCAGUUAAGUUAAGGAAUUGGAGUUGAUCACGUUCAACUUCAGGUGAAGAAGACCCCGUGUUGUUGCUUUGAAUGUUCCAACAUGUUUUCGUAUAAUGAUUUUGGACUUGUCCACAAGUUUUAGUGAGAUUUCAAUGAGUUUCAAAUGGAUUUGGGUUGUGUCGCGCUCGUGUUUGAAGUUUCAACGUCGUUUCUUUGGGCAUAAAAGGUACCAAUUGAGAAAAUGACCUCUCAAUUAUGUUUCGAUUGAACCAUUAAAUUCGCAUUGCAAUUACCGAGCCAUAGCAAAAGGAAUCAUUGAAUUUCGACGUCGUAUGAGGGAGUUAUGCCCAUUUUAGUGUCGGUGAAAUUGUUGUCUCUGGUGUGGUUGCGGGUGCGGAAAAGGGCCGAAAAUGUGAAACUGCAGGGGCAAAUUGGUCUGCAGGUGCGAAAUUUUGGGCCGCGGAAGCGGAAAUCGUUGAGUUAAAAUUUAGACUUCGUCCAUUUUGUAUUUUGAGCAUAUUUUGAGUUCUAGAGCUCCGUUUGAGGUGAUUUUCGCCUCGUUGUUCUCAUCUCAACGAGAGGGUUAGUAUCUAACCUUUAUUUUGGUGUUUCCCCAUGAUUAUUUCCGUCGGUUAUCGUUUUUUAUUUGUGUUUGGGUUGGUAGAAGUUGGGGUUUUGAGACCUAAGAAUAAUAGAAUGAAAAAUCUCGAUUUGGGGAUCGACUCAUGGAUGAAAUUGGGUGAUUUUCUCUAUGUAGACGAUAUAAGUUAGUAAACCGAUUUUCAAAUAAAAUUCCGUUUUGGCCUUAGGGGCCCGGGAUUACCUUUUUGGGUUCGUUUUUGGAUUCUGAAUUAAAUAUAGCAAUAUGGGUAUCAUUGGAUUCAUUUAACUUCAUAGAGUACUAUUUGACUAUAUUGAACCCAAUUUUGUAAUGAAAUUACAAUUUUGACCUUCAGGGCUUAAGAUUGGCU